UGGGGAAUAUUGCACAAUGGGCGCAAGCCUGAUGCAGCCAUGCCGCGUGUAUGAAGAAGGCCUUCGGGUUGUAAAGUACUUUCAGCGGGGAGGAAGGCGUUGAGGUUAAUAACCUCAGCAAUUGACGUUACCCGCAGAAGAAGCACCGGCUAACUCCGUGCCAGCAGCCGCGGUAAUACGGAGGGUGCAAGCGUUAAUGGGAAUUACUGGGCGUAAAGCGCACGCAGGCGGUCUGUCAAGUCGGAUGUGAAAUCCCCGGGCUCAACCUGGGAACUGCAUUCGAAACUGGCAGGCUAGAGUCUUGUAGAGGGGGGUAGAAUUCCAGGUGUAGCGGUGAAAUGCGUAGAGAUCUGGAGGAAUACCGGUGGCGAAGGCGGCCCCCUGGACAAAGACUGACGCUCAGGUGCGAAAGCGUGGGGAGCAAACA
This 427-nucleotide ribosomal RNA is filed under the name uncultured bacterium. RNAcentral describes it as "partial 16S ribosomal RNA". It matches the Rfam family "Bacterial small subunit ribosomal RNA", at positions 355 to 774 of the family's 1533-position model. The record is from RNAcentral.